Molecule: ribosomal RNA, 870 nt
Filed under: Paraphaeosphaeria sporulosa
Lineage: Eukaryota; Fungi; Ascomycota; Dothideomycetes; Pleosporales; Didymosphaeriaceae
Description: SSU rRNA
Rfam family: Eukaryotic small subunit ribosomal RNA
Source: RNAcentral
AGUUAGCAUUAUACCGUGAAACUGCGAAUGGCUCAUUAAAUCAGUUAUCGUUUAUUUGAUAGUACCUUACUACUUGGAUAACCGUGGUAAUUCUAGAGCUAAUACAUGCUAAAAACCCCAACUUCGGGAGGGGUGUAUUUAUUAGAUAAAAAACCAAUGCCCUUCGGGGCUCCUUGGUGAUUCAUGAUAACUUCUCAGAUCGCAUGGCUUUACGCCGGCGACGGUUCAUUCAAAUUUCUGCCCUAUCAACUUUCGAUGGUAAGGUAUUGGCUUACCAUGGUUUCAACGGGUAACGGGGAAUUAGGGUUCGAUUCCGGAGAGGGAGCCUGAGAAACGGCUACCACAUCCAAGGAAGGCAGCAGGCGCGCAAAUUACCCAAUUCCGAUACGGAGAGGUAGUGACAAUAAAUACUGAUACAGGGCUCUUUUGGGUCUUGUAAUUGGAAUGAGUACAAUUUAAACCUCUUAACGAGGAACAAUUGGAGGGCAAGUCUGGUGCCAGCAGCCGCGGUAAUUCCAGCUCCAAUAGCGUAUAUUAAAGUUGUUGCAGUUAAAAAGCUCGUAGUUGAACCUUUGGCCUGGCUGGCAGGUCCGCCUCACCGCGUGCACUUGUCCGGCCGGGCCUUUUCUUCUGGAGAACCGCAUGCCCUUCACUGGGUGUGUUGGGGACCAGGACUUUUACUUUGAAAAAAUUAGAGUGUUCAAAGCAGGCCUUUGCUCGAAUACGUUAGCAUGGAAUAAUAGAAUAGGACGUGCGGUCCUAUUUUGUUGGUUUCUAGGACCGCCGUAAUGAUUAAUAGGGACAGUCGGGGGCAUCAGUAUUCAAUUGUCAGAGGUGAAAUUCUUGGAUUUAUUGAAGACUAACUACUGC